CCCGCUAUAGUUUAUUCAAAACGCCGAAUUGCAAACUCGGAGAUGAUAUUUAUAUUCUAGUGAGU
This 65-nucleotide transfer RNA is filed under the name Polinices flemingianus. RNAcentral describes it as "tRNA-Cys". The record is from RNAcentral. Lineage: Eukaryota; Metazoa; Mollusca; Gastropoda; Littorinimorpha; Naticidae. RNAcentral also lists the same sequence under 1 other name.